UAGUUCUAGCAAUGCAUAAUUCUUAUAAAAAACCUGGCCUAGGCAUAACGCAUGGUACCAGUCUCCACAUUCACUACACGCAAGCCAUUUACACCCUUUUCCCUAACCUUCUUACAUAUCUUACAGUCGGAGACAAACAUCAUUUUGUGAUACUUCAGUGAGCCACAAGUGAAAACAAAUAUGACCAACAAGCCUCCUUCACUCGCUGUUGUUAGUCACUGCCAAUGAGGCGAUGUUACAGUUCCAUCAUGCAUCAGGGAAGGCAAGGCAAGGCAAGGCAAGGAUGCUUUUUAUCACCAAACCUUUUUAGGCUUGUAUACAGAUGAGUUAGCAGCUGGAAUGAAAAGAGUGACUGCGGAAAAUUAUGUUAUGUUUUUUUUUUUUUUUUUUUUUAUGCAGAUGAUGUGGUCAUGAGUGAAUCGGCAGAUGAGCUUCAAAGUUUGUUUGAUGUUGUAGAUAGGUAUGGAAGGUACUUUGGUGUGAGAUUUAGCAGCGAGAAAAGCAAGGUCAUGAAUGUGAAUAUAUCAGAGGAUGAGAGAAAUUCAGAGUGGAGACUGGGAGGAAAUGUGUUGCGACAGACAGAUGAAUGCAAGUACCUGGGAAUGUGGAUGAGUCCGAAUGGCUGUGUGAAGGCAAAAAAUGAAAAGAUAAACAUGGUGAACCAGUGGGUGUGUCGUCUAGGAAGUGCAGCAAGGAUGAGAGCGAAUAAAUAUGACGUGCUGCGAGAAGUUUGGAAGAGUGUGGCUGUUCCGAGCAUUAUGUAUGGUAUGGAUGUGAUCGUGUGGAAUGAGAAUGAAUUAGAAAAGUUAGAAGCAGGACAGAAUAGAGUAGCAAGGAUAGCACUUAAUGCACCAAGGUAUGCAACGAUAGAGGCCUUGAGUGGGAAUAUGGGUUGGAGUACUUUUAGAGAGAGACAUGCAAAAACAACCUUUAGGAACAAAGCUAGAUUAGAGUGAAUGGAUGAUGCGAGACUAGUGAGAAAGGUGUUUCUGUGGAAUGUUAGGAGCAGGAGGUGGGGGAAGAAGUGUGUUAAGAUUGUAGUAAAGAGUGGUUUGGAAAGUAGUUGGGCUUUUCAACGAUUUGAGGGGAGGCAUGUUGAGAGUGACUGGAGUAUGAUUGUCAGAAAUGGGGAGGGUUUAGAAUGGGAUGUUAGAAAGUGGAAAAAUGGGAUAGACAAGGAGGUGAAGCAUGUGGGAUUGAAUGAAUGGAAGAAUAAGAUGGAACAUAAAACUACUCUGGAGUGGUAUAGAGAGAAAAAGGCUCCAGUGUAUGAAAAGUGGUAUGAGGGAAGCCUGGGCGGUGAUCUGUUCCGAGCGAGGGCACAGUAUAUGGAUGUGAACGCAAGGAGUUACAAAUGGUCUGAGUCCCGCAGCAAAGUGUGCCAGAUGUGUGACAUGGGAGAGGAUGAGACGGUGGAGCAUGUAGUGCUGGAGUGUUAUGAAGUAUGCCAGAGACAGGAAUGAGAUGAUGCAAGUGGUGUUGAGGGAACUGGGACAUACUAGAGUGGAGAAGACAGGAAGGGAAUGGAUGGUAUUGCUGCUAGGACUGUGUGGGGAGACGAAUGAAAGGAUAAUUGAGGUUGUGAAAGAGUUCCUGGAGAAAAUGUGGCGUGCUAGAUGUAGGAACUAGUGGUGUGAUAAGUUAGAAGUGGGCCAGAAUAGAGCAGCAAGGAUGGCACUGAGUCCACCGAGAUACACAGCAGUAGAAGCCUUGAGAGGUGAUAAGGGAUAGAACACCUUUAGGGAAAGACUCACAAAAGCCACACUUAGGUACAGGAUUAGGCUUGAGAGAAUGGAUGAUGCAAGAAUAGUAAGGAAGGUGUACCUAUGGAAUGAAAGUGGUGGAAGCAAAUGGAGGAAGAGGUGCAUGAGAAUGACAGACAGGAAUGGAUUGCAAGUUGUGUGGGCAAUAAGAAUGGUUGGGAGGAAUCAAAAUGAGCGUGAAUGGGUGGUAACAAGAGGAGGCAGAGUGGGAGCCGAAUGGGAUGUGAGAAAAUGGAAGAAUGAGAUAGACAAAGAAGUGAAAUUUGUGGGACUGAAUGGAUGGAAGAAUGAGAUGGAAAGAAAGAAGACCCUGGAAUGGUACAAGGAGAAAGGGGCCCCGAGGUAUGAAAGGUGGUAUGAUGGAAGCCUGGGUGGUGAUCUUCUCUUCUGAGCGAGGGCACGGUUACAGGUGGUCUGAGUCCCGCAGCAAAGUGUGCCAGAUGUGUGACACGGGAGAGGAUGAGACGGUGGUGCUGGAGUGUGUGAAGUAUGUCAGAGACAGGAAUGAGAUGAUGCAAGUGAUACUGACUGAGUUAGGGCAUGAUAGGAAUGAAAGAGUGGAGAAGACAGGAAAGGAAUUGAUGGUGUUGUUGCUGGGACUGUGUAGAGAGGCUAAUGAAAGGAUGAUUGAGGCGGUGAAAGAGUUUCUGGAGAGAAUGUGGCGUGCCAGAUGUAGGAACAAUUAGGAUAGAGGAUGCUGCUCGUUUCCCUUUUUCUCCCCUUCUACAGGAGUUGCCGAUCCAAAGGCCCGACUCAGGAGUGGUCCUGAGCCACCUGUUCCAUAAAGAUCAAGAUUAAGAUCAUGGGAGGAAGGAGGAUUUUUACUUAAAGCCAAAAAAUAUUGACUCUAUUGACUGAUUUCGUCGUUAGACCCGAGGACGAAGUUGUGGCUACGGAGAUUUAAAUGGCCGACAAAUGGUGGCUCUUAUCCUGACUAGUUUGUCCGUUGAGACCGCAGUGACUUUUUACGGCCUAUGCAGGAACCUAACUUAGCAGCAGCUGCAGGAACUACUUCAGAGGCAUUCAUCUAAUGCCACUUCCUGAAAUAGUCACACAACAACCUAUGAUAAUCCUGCCCAAGCCUUGCCUAACUCUCAGGCUGCUCCUGUCCAUCUAGCAACUACUGGUACCAAUGUAACCCAGGGUGCACAUGCACAGGCAAAGGACACUUUUAAAAGGCUGUGGUAGUUCUUGAGAGUAACUACCUCAUUUCACUCUCCACUUUGCACAUGUAAAUGUUAACCCUAUCCAGUAAGGUUAAUUAUAUUUUUGUCAAGUCACAGGAAGAUAGAAAUAUAGCAGGCAGGGAGCUCCAUAGUUUACCAUAGAAAGGGAUGAAUGAUUGAGAAUACUG
Scylla paramamosain (green mud crab) is the source of this 3117-nucleotide long non-coding RNA. RefSeq lists it as uncharacterized. NCBI's taxonomy places the organism in Eukaryota, Metazoa, Arthropoda, Malacostraca, Decapoda, Portunidae. The transcript is spliced from 3 exons. The record is from RefSeq and is a predicted model, not a curated record.